This 497-nucleotide ribosomal RNA is filed under the name uncultured bacterium. RNAcentral describes it as "partial 16S ribosomal RNA". It matches the Rfam family "Bacterial small subunit ribosomal RNA", at positions 28 to 507 of the family's 1533-position model. The record is from RNAcentral.
GGCGAACGCUGGCGGCGUGCCUAAUACAUGCAAGUUGAGCGCUGAAGGUUGGUACUUGUACCAACUGGAUGAGCAGCGAACGGGUGAGUAACGCGUGGGGAAUCUGCCUUUGAGCGGGGGACAACAUUUGGAAACGAAUGCUAAUACCGCAUAAAAACUUUAAACACAAGUUUUAAGUUUGAAAGAUGCAAUUGCAUCACUCAAAGAUGAUCCCGCGUUGUAUUAGCUAGUUGGUGAGGUAAAGGCUCACCAAGGCGAUGAUACAUAGCCGACCUGAGAGGGUGAUCGGCCACAUUGGGACUGAGACACGGCCCAAACUCCUACGGGAGGCAGCAGUAGGGAAUCUUCGGCAAUGGACGAAAGUCUGACCGAGCAACGCCGCGGGAGUGAAGAAGGUUUUCGGAUCGUAAAACUCUGUUGGUAGAGAAGAACGUUGGUGAGAGUGGAAAGCUCAUCAAGUGACGGUAACUACCCAGAAAGGGACGGCUAACUACGUG